This 450-nucleotide ribosomal RNA is filed under the name uncultured bacterium. Its description in RNAcentral is "bacterial SSU rRNA". It matches the Rfam family "Bacterial small subunit ribosomal RNA", at positions 349 to 793 of the family's 1533-position model. The record is from RNAcentral.
CAGCAGUAGGGAAUAUUGGUCAAUGGGCGAAAGCCUGAACCAGCCAUGCCGCGUGUCAGAUGAAGGUCCUCUGGAUUGUAAAUGACUUUUCUACGGGAAGAAUGAGCCGUCUGCGGACGGAAGUUGACGGUACCGUAGGAAUAAGCACCGGCUAACUACGUGCCAGCAGCCGCGGUAAUACGUAGGGUGCAAGCGUUGUCCGGAUUUACUGGGUUUAAAGGGUACGUAGGCGGUUGUGCCAAGUCUGGGGUGAAAGUUUGCAGCUCAACUGUAAAAAUUGCCUUGGAUACUGGUCGGCUAGAGUAGUGGAGCGGUGGCUGGAAUUUAUAGUGUAGCGGUGAAAUGCUUAGAUACUAUGAGGAACACCAAUUGCGAAGGCAGGUCACUGGUCACUAACUGACGCUGAGGUACGAAAGUGUGGGGAUCAAACAGGAUUAGAUACCCUGGUAG